GGAAUUCAGUUUCUAAUAGAAAAUGACCUGCUACAGAGUUCCCCAGAAGACGUCGCCCAGUUCCUUUAUAAAGGAGAAGGCCUAAAUAAGACCGUCAUUGGGGACUACCUGGGUGAAAGGGAUGAAUUUAAUAUUAAAGUUCUUCAAGCCUUUGUUGAACUCCAUGAGUUUGCUGAUCUCAACCUUGUACAAGCCUUAAGGCAGUUCUUAUGGAGCUUCAGGCUGCCCGGGGAGGCGCAGAAGAUUGAUCGCAUGAUGGAGGCUUUCGCUUCUCGCUACUGCCUGUGCAACCCCGGGGUCUUCCAGUCCACAGGUCAGUGCAGAGCCCACAGCCUGGCCCCUUGCCAGGCACAGCCUCCAGCUCUGGAGGGGGCGGCCCCUGUGGGCACAGCCCAGCGUGUGUUCCUGGGGACCUGCCUUCCCUGAGCGAGGACGACCUGUGGGCCGGGCACCUCUUGCAGGCGCGCCCCCAAGCACGCGGGGUCCCACUGUCCACUGGAGGUUCU
Molecule: small RNA, 506 nt
Filed under: Pan troglodytes (chimpanzee)
Lineage: Eukaryota; Metazoa; Chordata; Mammalia; Primates; Hominidae
Description: retained intron
Source: RNAcentral